UGAGGAAUAUUGGACAAUGGGCGCAAGCCUGAUCCAGCAAUGCCGCGUGCAGGAUGAAGGCCUUCGGGCUGUAAACUGCUUUUGUACGGAGCGAAAAGGUCUGCCCUAAUACGGUGGGCUCAUGACGGUACCGUAAGAAUAAGCACCGGCUAACUACGUGCCAGCAGCCGCGGUAAUACGUAGGGUGCGAGCGUUAAUCGGAAUUACUGGGCGUAAAGCGUGCGCAGGCGGUUAUAUAAGACAGAUGUGAAAUCCCCGGGCUCAACCUGGGACCUGCAUUUGUGACUGUAUAGCUAGAGUACGGUAGAGGGGAUGGAAUUCCGCGUGUAGCAGUGAAAUGCGUAGAUAUGCGGAGGAACACCGAUGGCGAAGGCAAUCCCCUGGACCUGUACUGACGCUCAUGCACGAAAGCGUGGGGAGCAAACA
Molecule: ribosomal RNA, 426 nt
Filed under: uncultured bacterium
Lineage: Bacteria
Description: bacterial SSU rRNA
Rfam family: Bacterial small subunit ribosomal RNA
Source: RNAcentral